GAUGAACGCUAGCGGCAGGCCUAAUACAUGCAAGUCGAGCGGCAAGUUGAGUAGCAAUACUUGACCUAGAGCGGCGCACGGGUGCGUUACGCGUAUGCAACCUACCUUAUACUGUGGGAUAGCCCGGAGAAAUCCGGAUUAAUACCGCAUGGUAUUGAGAGAUGGCAUCAUCACUCAAUUAAAGAUUUAUCGGUAUAAGAUGGGCAUGCGUAGGAUUAGCUAGUUGGUAAGGUAACGGCUUACCAAGGCUACGAUCCUUAGGGGUUCUGAGAGGAAGGUCCCCCACACUGGCACUGAGAUACGGGCCAGACUCCUACGGGAGGCAGCAGUAGGGAAUAUUGGGCAAUGGUCGGAAGACUGACCCAGCCAUGCCGCGUGCAGGAAGACGGCCCUCUGGGUUGUAAACUGCUUUUAUCAGGGAAGAAAAAGGCCAUGCGUGGCAAAUUGCCGGUACCUGAUGAAUAAGCACCGGCUAACUCCGUG
This 483-nucleotide ribosomal RNA is filed under the name uncultured bacterium. RNAcentral describes it as "bacterial SSU rRNA". It matches the Rfam family "Bacterial small subunit ribosomal RNA", at positions 28 to 507 of the family's 1533-position model. The record is from RNAcentral.